This 329-nucleotide unclassified non-coding RNA is filed under the name plant metagenome. RNAcentral describes it as "partial contains 5.8S ribosomal RNA, internal transcribed spacer 2, and large subunit ribosomal RNA". The stretch from base 1 to 105 matches the Rfam family "5.8S ribosomal RNA", at positions 50 to 154 of the family's 154-position model. The record is from RNAcentral.
GAAAUGCGAUAAGUAAUGUGAAUUGCAGAAUUCCGUGAAUCAUCGAAUCUUUGAACAUACAUUGCGCCCUCUGGUAUUCCGGGGGGCAUGCCUGUCCGAGCGUCAUUGCGAACCCCUCAAGCACGGCUUGUGUGAUGGGCCCUCCCGCGUCUUGGUCGUCAAGACGGGCCCGAAAAGCAGUGGCGGCUUCGCGGUUAUCCGAUCAGCCAGAGCGUAUGGGGACUUUCUCUCUGUCACACGCCCGCGGCGCGGACCGACGCCUGUCGACCUUUAUUCAUCUUUUUCUCGGUUGACCUCGGAUCAGGUAGGGAUACCCGCUGAACUUAAGC